GGAGCGAUGCCCGAGAGGUUCAAGGGAGCGCCUUGCUAAGGCGUCGAUUACUUACGUAGUCCGAGGGUUCAAAUCCCUCUCUCUCCG
RNAcentral lists this transfer RNA (87 nucleotides) under Dinophyceae sp. MGD. RNAcentral describes it as "tRNA-Ser". It matches the Rfam family "tRNA". Rfam says of the family: Transfer RNA (tRNA) molecules are approximately 80 nucleotides in length. The record is from RNAcentral. Lineage: Eukaryota; Dinophyceae.